Molecule: ribosomal RNA, 325 nt
Filed under: uncultured bacterium
Lineage: Bacteria
Description: bacterial SSU rRNA
Rfam family: Bacterial small subunit ribosomal RNA
Source: RNAcentral
GACGAACGCUGGCGGCGUGCCUAACACAUGCAAGUCGAGCGGAGCCAAUUAGCAGAUCCCCUUCGGGGUGACGUUGAGGAAGCUUAGCGGCGGACGGGUGAGUAACGCGUGAGUAACCUGCCCAUAAGAGAGGGAUAACACAGAGAAAUUUGUGCUAAUACCUCAUAUUGAGUUAAGAUCGCAUGAUUUUAACUUGAAAGAUUUAUCGCUUAUGGAUGGACCCGCGUCUGAUUAGCUAGUUGGUGAGGUAAUGGCUCACCAAGGCGACGAUCAGUAGCCGAACUGAGAGGUUGAUCGGCCACAUUGGGACUGAGACACGGCCCAG